GGAAUCUUGCGCAAUGGGCGAAAGCCUGACGCAGCAACGCCGCGUGCGGGAAGAAGGCUUUCGGGCUGUAAACCGCUUUCAGCAGGAACGAAAAUGACGGUACCUGCAGAAGAAGGAGCGGCCAACUAUGUGCCAGCAGCCGCGGUGAUACAUAGGCUUCAAGCGUUGUCCGGAUUUAUUGGGCGUAAAGAGUUCGUAGGCGGUCGAGUAAGUCGGGUGUGAAAAUUCUGGGCUCAACCCAGAAACGCCACCCGAUACUGCUUAACUUGAGUUCGAUAGGGGAGUGGGGAAUUCCUAGUGUAGCGGUGAAAUGCGCAGAUAUUAGGGGGAACACCGGUGGCGAAGGCGCCACUCUGGAUCGAUACUGACGCUGAGGAACGAAAGCAUGGGUAGCAAACAGGAUUAGAUACCCUGGUAGUCCAUGCCGUAAACGGUGGGCACUAGGUGUGGGAUUCUAUUAACGAAUUCCGCGCCGUCGCUAACGCAUUAAGUGCCCCGCCUGGGGAGUACGGUCGCAAGACUAAAACUCAAAUGAAUUGACGG
RNAcentral lists this ribosomal RNA (543 nucleotides) under uncultured bacterium. RNAcentral describes it as "bacterial SSU rRNA". It matches the Rfam family "Bacterial small subunit ribosomal RNA", at positions 358 to 916 of the family's 1533-position model. The record is from RNAcentral.